GAAAUGCGAUAAGUAGUGUGAAUUGCAGAAUUCAGUGAAUCAUCGAAUCUUUGAACGCACAUUGCGCCCCUUGGUAUUCCAUGGGGCAUGCCUGUUCGAGCGUCAUCUACACCCUCAAGCUCUGCUUGGUGAUGGGCGUCUGUCCCGCCUCGGCGCGCGGACUCGCCCCAAAGUCAUUGGCAGCGGUCCCGUCCGCCUCUCGCGCAGCACAUUUGCGCUUCUCGAGGCGUCGGGGUCCGCGUCCAUCAAGCGACCCACCAUUUUUGACCUCGGAUCAGGUAGGGAUACCCGCUGAGUUUAA
This 301-nucleotide unclassified non-coding RNA is filed under the name uncultured Pleosporales. Its description in RNAcentral is "sequence contains ITS1". The stretch from base 1 to 105 matches the Rfam family "5.8S ribosomal RNA", at positions 50 to 154 of the family's 154-position model. The record is from RNAcentral. Lineage: Eukaryota; Fungi; Ascomycota; Dothideomycetes; Pleosporales.